This 5062-nucleotide long non-coding RNA is filed under the name Gossypium raimondii (Peruvian cotton). RNAcentral describes it as "long non-coding RNA (GRAI_LNC005506)". Lineage: Eukaryota; Viridiplantae; Streptophyta; Magnoliopsida; Malvales; Malvaceae. The record is from RNAcentral.
GAGAAAAGAGUAUGUAACUGAAGUGAAGGUGAUUAGCCAAUUGAGACACAGGAAUCUGGUGCAACUAAUUGGUUGGUGCCAUGAUAAAAAUGAUUUCAUACUUGUCUAUGAAUUCAUGCCAAAUGGCAGCCUUGAUUCCCACCUCUUUGGUAGGAGAAGUCCACUGACAUGGUCUGUGAGGUACAGAAUAUCGCUUGGCUUGGCAUCUGCACUUCUAUAUCUUCAUGAAGAGUGGGAGCAGUGUGUGGUGCAUCGAGACAUUAAAUCAAGCAAUGUAAUGCUUGAUUCCAGUUUCAAUGUCAAGCUUGGUGACUUCGGAUUGGCCAAACUCAUGGACCAUGAGCAAGGUCCUAAAACAACUGGAUUGGCUGGAACUAUAGGCUACUUGGCUCCAGAGUACAUAUGUACAGGUAGGGCUAGUAAGGAGUCAGAUGUUUAUAGCUUUGGGGUAGUCCUUUUAGAAAUUGCAACUGGAAGGAAAUCUGUUGGCCCUGGAAGAAAAUCUGACAUGGGAUUGGUUGAGUGGAUUUGGGGUCUUUAUGGAACAGGAGAGCUAAUUUUGGCUGUUGACGAUAAGUUGGGCAAGGAAUUUGAUGAGAAACAAGUGGAGUCUUUGAUGAUUGUUGGACUGUGGUGUGCUCACCCCGAUUAUAAUUCAAGGCCAUCAAUCAGGCAAGCAAUUCAUGUUCUUUGUUUGGAAUCACCGUUGCCAAAUCUUCCUGUCAAGAUGCCUGUUCCUACAUAUCAAGUAUCUUUAUCAUCAGUCUCCUCCUCUGAGCCUUCAGUAACAUAUUCAAGCAUGGAUUUGGGGCGUUAAACAUGAUUUGCCUUCAUCUGGAUGUGCUUCUAAUUUCAUUUUCCUUUUCUUUUUAGUUUUGACAUUUCAUGUUGAUGUAUAAACACCACUUGUAUAGUUACUGAGAAGAAUUUAGUUCCAUCCAAGUGUAGCUUAACCCUUUUCCUUCUGGCAUAAAGAUAGAUUAAAAUGUUUGGCUUGAAUGUCUUUGCUGGUUACAGUUAAAUUUUGGUUUAUAUAUUGAGUUGUAAGGCAGGAAAAUGAAAAAAGUGAUCACCAAGUUAGACAGCCUGUGUAAUGUAAAUUUGAACUCGAAAUCACUCAAAAAUGAAUUAACUUAAACUUGAAAUGAUAAAAAAAACAAGUAAUUUGAAAUUAGCAGAAAAAAUAAUUUGAAACGACCCGAGAUGACUUGACUUGGAAAAUUCAACUACCAAACUUGAAUGUCUCAAAUUCAAAAUGAUCCAAAUUUAAAACAAUCUAAAGCUGAAAUAAUAAAAAAUUUAAACCCAUGUUAAAUUGAUCUAUUAAUCUGAUCCAAAAUCAACUAGAUCCACUCAAUUCUAACUUCUAAUUUGCAUAUAUAUACCUUAGUUGAUUCAAAAUAUGGCAAUAGGUUCAGUUUAUUCUUUGAAUUAACCUUUAACCUACCCCUUACUUUGCUUAUUAAGGUAAAGUUAUAGUUACAAAAAAUUAAUAUAUUCAUCAAUAUUUCUUUCUAAACAACAAUUGAAAUAACAAAUACAAUAUAAUAUUAACAACCAAAGUAAAAUGGAUGGUUGAUAGAUAAGUUUUCAACAUUUAGAUUUGAUCUAAUUUUCCCGAUCCAAGAAACUUAAUAUGCUUGAUCCGAUCAAAUCUUUUAAACAAAUUUCUCUAAGUAAAUUGAUCUUCAUUAAUGGGCCAGUCUUUCAUAUAUGACAAGUUAUUGUUUUGUAUAGACAAGGGAAGAGUGAAAACUUCCCUUGACACAUUGCAGCAACUUCAAAUAUUUCAACACAAUGUAAUCUCUUACGAAUAUUAUGCACAAAUAUUGUAACAUAGUUUCUAUUAUCAUUCCCUGCUUGAUGUUCAAAUCUUUGACACUCUUGUAAACCUACCAUUUUUUCUUUUUAGAUUAACAGCAUCUACAAACCCCUCCCUUAUCUAGUAUGACUUAGACCUUUUAUGAUAGAUAUUGGUGCACAAACCUCCUUUUUCUAUAUUUUCAGAGAAAGAGAAUUAGUAUAUGAUCUAUUCGAAGCUGUCACCGAUAUGAGAAUGAUGCAUAAUUAUUUUCGUAUCGGUGAAGUGGCGGCCGAUUUACCUUACGGCUGGAUAGAUAAAUGUUUAGAUUUUUAUGAUUAUUUUUUAACAGGAAUUGUUGAAUAGCAAAAAUUUAUUAUACGAAAUCCUAUAUAUAUUUUUUAGAAUGAGUUGAAGGGAUAUGCGUUAUUGGUGGAGAACAAGCAAUAAUUUGGGGGUUUAUUCGGCCCAAUGCUACGAGCAUUUGGAAUCAAAUGGAAUCUUCAGAAAGUUGAUUAUUAUGAGUGUUAUGAUGAAUUUGAUUAGGAUCCAGUGGCAAAAAGAAAGAGAUUCAUUAGCUCAUUAUUUAGUCCGAAUCAGUGAAAUGAUGAAAUCUAUAAAAAUAAUUAAAUAGGCCCUCGAAGGAAUUUCGAGUGGUCCCUAUGAGAAUUUAGAAAUCCAAUGCUUUGCUCGAGAAAGGGAUUCAGAAUGGAAUGAUUUUGAAUAUCGAUUCAUUAGUAAAAAACCUUCUCCCACAUUUGAAUUACCAAGACAAGAACUUUAUGCGGGAACGGAAGCUAUAUAGGAAGUUCAUUAAUAAACUUGUUUAUUAAACAUUGCUUGUAUCUCUCCAAGUCCAUCCCUUCAAUCCAAAAUGCAAUCAGGUUUUUUUUCCGAAAUUGACCUAAAAGAAUUGAUUAAUUACAUAAAUGACCCAAGUACAAUUUUUUUUAUAAAAAUGAUUAAUUUCUUACAGUGCACGUCGAUGCUGCCAUUCCAAUGACGGCACCACCCGCCAUCAAUUAUCCUUUUUAGAUUGGCUGAAAAAAGGGUACAGCCUGAGAUAAUAGGGGCACCCUGAGAUAAUAGGGGCACCAAAUUAAAUGAUUUCCAAAAUUUUAAUCUAUAUAUAAAUAACCCUUCAAAAUAUAAGAAUAAAAAAAUAAUCUAUUUUUUUUAAUUUUUUAAAGAACAAUAAACUUAAAAAAUUAUAUAAAAUUUUUUUAAAUAGGGUUAUUUUCGUAAUUAAUCAAAAAGUUCGAGUUACUUCUAAACAAAAGCCAUUGAAUCGCCGCCAUGUUUCAGGAUUGCAGCAGUAAUGGAGAAGAGGUGGGAUGGCUAUUAAAAAGGGUGAUCUCUUCAUCCCUGAGUCAGCAAAUAUCCUUGUACCAUUUUUCACACAACAUAUCCUUAUAUCAUCAACUGAGAUUUCAUUACCAAAGUAUCCUUGUUAAUCUCAUAAAAUUUUAUUUGAUUUAAUGCAGGAAGAUUAUUAGAAAAUUUUGUUGCUGAAUAAAAUCCUCAGUCAAAAAAUGACUAUGAUUUUGUAAGACACAGUUUUCCUUAAAUUCAACUUUUCCUUUGGAAGAGAGAGAUAUAUUAUAAUAGGCUUAUUUAUAUGCCAUUCUAAUAGGUUCACAAAUUCAACUUUUCUAUAUAUAUUUAUGAUUCAGGAAGACGUCUAUUGAAGCUUCCUUCAUGCAUAAAAUAAAGCUGGUCAUUGAAACUUCAGCAUCAAGUUAACUAUUUUUUAUUUACUUCAUUUGCGGAUUCUAUUGGUUCAACUUCUCUUUUAUAUGCUGUCUGACUGCAAUAUCUCUCCUUGCUUCUCUAUUUCCAUGGCGAUUGGGCUCAUCAACUUGCUUCAAUCAUCGCUUCUGAUUCCAUUUCUUUUCACUCUCCCCUUUGUCAAUUCACUAAAUUUCCAAAUAUCUCGCUUUGAUUCAAAUGCAAACAACAUUCUCUAUCAAGGUGAUGCAAAACCUUCCGUUGGAGCCAUUGAGUUUAACCUUAUCAAUUAUAUAAACCGAGUUGGAUGGGCAACAUAUGCCGAGAAGGUGCCAAUUUGGGACUCAAGAACAGGAAGGCUCACCGACUUCAGUACGCGCUUCUCCUUUGACAUUUCUAUUCAAAGUUCAGAUUAUGGUCAUGGACUUGUCUUCUUUCUCGCUCCUGUUGGCUCUCAAAUCCCACCAAAUUCAGCUGGUGGCUUUUUGGGAUUAUUUAAUACAACAACCAGUGAUUCAUCUCAGAACCAAAUCGUUCUCGUUGAGUUCGACACGUUUGAAAAUCCUGAAUGGGAUCCAACUGGUAUUGGUAGUCAUGUUGGGAUUAACGAAAACUCAAUUUCUUCAGCAAAUUAUACCAGAUGGAAUGCUAGCUUUCAUAGUGAAGAUACGGCAGAUGUAGUCAUUAACUACAACGCUACUACUAAGAACUUAAGUGUCUCUUGGAGCUAUCAAAAGACCAAUAAUCCUCGAGAGAAUUCUAGUCUUUCAUAUCAAAUCGAUCUGAUGACGGUUUUACCAGAGUGGGUCAUGGUCGGAUUUUCUGCUGCUACAGGUCAGUACGUAGAGAGGCAUACACUCCAAAAUUGGGAAUUCGGUUCAAGUUUAACUGUGGCAGAGGAUACAAGCGGCAACAAAGCAAGAAAUGUUAGAAUAAUUCUGGGUAUUGUAGUUCCUGUGGGUGUUCUGAUAGCUGGGACAAUUAUAGCUUUUAUAAUUUGGAAGAGGAAGAAGCAUGCGAAAAGAACACCAGAAACAACAAACUUGACAUCAAUGAAUGAUGAUCUUGAAAGAGGAGCUGGACCAAGAAGGUUUUCUUAUACUGAUCUUGCCUCAGCUACCAAUAACUUCUCGGAGCAAAGAAAAUUGGGUGAGGGAGGCUUUGGUGCAGUUUAUAGGGGUUACCUGAAUGAUUUGGAUGUGGAGGUUGCUGUUAAAAGGAUUUCAAGUUGGUCCAAACAAGGGAGAAAAGAGUAUGUAACUGAAGUGAAGGUGAUUAGCCAAUUGAGACACAGGAAUCUGGUGCAACUAAUUGGUUGGUGCCAUGAUAAAAAUGAUUUCAUACUUGUCUAUGAAUUCAUGCCAAAUGGCAGCCUUGAUUCCCACCUCUUUGGUAGGAGAAGUGCACUGACAUGGUCUGUGAGGUACAGAAUAUCGCUUGGAUUGGCAUCUGCACUUCUCUAUCUUCAUGAAGAGUGGGAGCAGUGUGUGGUGCAUCGAGACAUUAAGUCAAGCAAUGUAAUGCUUGAUUCUA